GUGAUACUCACUCCGUCUGAAAAAGUUUGUCCCAAGAUUGUUUCUCAAAUGAAUGUAUCUAGCACUAACUUAAUGCUAGAUAUAUUCAUUUGAGGGACAAACUUUUUCGGAUGGAGGGAGUAGCCA
Triticum aestivum (bread wheat) is the source of this 126-nucleotide non-coding RNA. NCBI's taxonomy places the organism in Eukaryota, Viridiplantae, Streptophyta, Magnoliopsida, Poales, Poaceae. The record is from Rfam.